Molecule: ribosomal RNA, 519 nt
Filed under: uncultured delta proteobacterium
Lineage: Bacteria; Deltaproteobacteria
Description: bacterial SSU rRNA
Rfam family: Bacterial small subunit ribosomal RNA
Source: RNAcentral
AGCGAACGGUUAGCGGCGGGCCUAACACAUGCAAGUCGAACGCGAAAGCCCUUCGGGGUUAGUAGAGUGGCGCACGGGUGAGUAACACGUAGGCAACCUGCCCUCAGGAAGGGGACAACUGCCCGAAAGGGCAGCUAAUACCGACAUAAGACCACGAUGGCUACGGCCGUUGGGGUAAAAGAUGGCCUCUACUUGUAAGCUAUCGCCUGAGGAUGGGCCUGCGGACCAUCAGCUAGUUGGUGGGGUAAUGGCCUACCAAGGCUAAGACGGUUAGCUGGUCUGAGAGGAUGAUCAGCCACACUGGCACUGAAACACGGGCCAGACUCCUACGGGAGGCAGCAGUGGGGAAUAUUGGACAAUGGGCGAAAGCCUGAUCCAGCCACGCCGCGUGAGUGAUGAAGGCCUUCGGGUUGUAAAGCUCUGUGGGGAGGGACGAAAAAGGUGGAGAAGACAACGCUCCGCCCUUGACGGUACCUCCUUAGCAAGCACCGGCUAACUCUGUGCCAGCAGCCGCGGUAA